AUUGAACGCUGGCGGCAGGCCUAACACAUGCAAGUCGAACGGUAACAGGAAGCAGCUUGCUGCUUCGCUGACGAGUGGCGGACGGGUGAGUAAUGUCUGGGAAACUGCCUGAUGGAGGGGGAUAACUACUGGAAACGGUAGCUAAUACCGCAUAACGUCGCAAGACCAAAGAGGGGGACCUUAGGGCCUCUUGCCAUCGGAUGUGCCCAGAUGGGAUUAGCUAGUAGGUGGGGUAACGGCUCACCUAGGCGACGAUCCCUAGCUGGUCUGAGAGGAUGACCAGCCACACUGGCACUGAGACACGGUCCAGACUCCUACGGGAGGCAGCAGUGGGGAAUAUUGCGCAAUGGGGGCAAGCCUGAUGCAGCCAUGCCGCGUGUAUGAAGAAGGCCUUCGGGUGGUAAAGUACUUUCAGCGGGGAGGAAGGGAGUAAAGUUAAUAACUUUGCUCAUUGACGUUACCCACCGAAGAAGCACCGGCUAACUACGUG
This 490-nucleotide ribosomal RNA is filed under the name uncultured bacterium. RNAcentral describes it as "partial 16S ribosomal RNA". It matches the Rfam family "Bacterial small subunit ribosomal RNA", at positions 30 to 507 of the family's 1533-position model. The record is from RNAcentral.